UUCUAUUUUAUUACUUCUGCUUUUGUCUUUAUUGUUUCUUUCCUUUGGGCUUAUUCUGUUCUUCUUUUUUAACCUCUUAAGUGAAGUAGUCCCCUUAGCCAUAGAAGGAUGACUGGCCUGUGACUCAGCCUGCAGGCCUGGCACUGCUGUAUGACUCCCCUGCCUUCCACUCCCUCUGAGGGUGCAGGGAGGGAGGCUGACGCCUACCCCAGAUGUCUCAGAAGGAAAGGGGAUUAGGGUUUCUUGAGGAAAGGAGGGCAGGGCAGGUCUGUCUAGGCAGUUGGAAACGUGGGAGUAACAGCCAGGUCGUCUUCCCAGCAGCCGGUUCCCACAGUUUUCCCAGAGCCAGGCUUGAGGUCGCUUAGUCCUUAGGGUCAUGGGAGCAGGAAGCGCUGAGGUGCUAGGGGCCGGCUGGUGGCUUAGGCAGCCUGGUUCCCUAGGGAGGGAACCCGUGCAGCCCUGCAGGGGCACGGGAGGGAGGGCGCAGGGGAGGAGAGCACUCCGCCCACCCGCUGAGCUCCAGCUCCCUCUCCUCCAGCCCAUCCAGAAGGGAAUUCUGGCAGAACCACUUCUGGACCUGUCCCUCUGCACCCCCCAUUCCUGCGCCCUCAUUUAACCUCCCUGACUCUGACCUGGGCUUGGGUCUAUCUUGGGGCCUGGCUGCUGUCCUGGGACGGGAAGGGGAGCAGAUCAGAACUCAGCCUGCGGCUCCAGGCCGCUGGGCGCUGGCUGGGCCUCACGUUCUCCUGGAAGGACCACCUCCCUUGCCCUCCACGGGGUCUGCCUUUGCUCCCAAGGCUCCGCCCUGGACGGAGCGUCCUUCUUGCCUGGGCGUCUUCAGACCUUCAUCUGUGACACCGGGGGCCAUGUGGCUCACCCCGAGGAAGAGACGAGGACUCGCUGUGUUGGCUGUUCUUGAGCUUCUGGGCUCAAGCAAUCCUCCCUCCUGAGCUUCCCAGAGUGCUAGGAUUACAGGUGUGAGCCACUGAGCCCAGCCCAUUUUCUUUUUUUUUUUUUCCUGGCUUCCUUUCCUCCCUGUCUCCCUGGCCUGCCCUUCCUCUUCCCUCAGCUGUUCCUUCCCUUUCUCUCCAGUGAAGACUAAGGGCCAAGCAUGAGCCUUUCUUCCUGCUCUUUUACCCUUGAGGCAGCAGGAGAGGAUAUUCACCUCCUGACAUGACAGAUUCUGACGCUAUCUGCUCCUCUGUGACUUUGGGAAGCGGGCUAUGUGCUGCUCCUGGGCUGAUGGGGGAAAGUGCCUCUCCCAGCAAUGCUGGUGCCACUUGGUGUGCUACGGCCCCCCAGGGCAGUGCGGAGCCAUCUGGGACAGUUAGACAAUGAGAGACUUGAAGCCAUUUCAAGGUGCUUCCUUGAAAAUGCUCCAGAAAAACAGCAGAGGCGGCCUCUCUGGGGAUCCGGUCCAGCCCUUGAAAAGAAUCUGUUUGUUUCACCACUGAACUCAAAUAAGCCAACAGAUUGAAGGAAGGGAGUUUCCACGCGCCCCUCCCCACCAAGCAGUUACCUGAGUUCCAGAGUCCAGUCUGAUGGAUCCCAUUUUACCCUGGUUUAAAUUGUUUCCUUAGAAAAAAAUAAACAGAACCUCUUCUCUCACUCUCCAGUGGAAAGUAUAGAAUCAAACGUAAAUGAAAAUGACAGUUUCUAACAUGCGCGACCUGGACACACGGCUGAACUCCGAGCCUCAGCUGCAGAGUGGGGUCAAUGCACCUACCUUGCAGCGUCACUAUGAGGAUCCACACAACAGAAAUAAACUGCUUAGUGUGUAGUAGGAGCCUCAAAAAUGAUGAUUCAAAAGCACCAGCCUGUCACAUUCAUCCCCUGCUCAAAAACUCUCCCUGCCUUUCCUAGCGCCUAAUGGACAGAUAUUAGUUCAGAAACACUUUAUAACUAAGUGGCCAUAGAGGCAGGCCUGAAGCCUAUUUUCAUUUUCUGUUUCAGUUUCUGAAUCUGUUCUUAUUUAGUCUUCCCUUAAAGGCUAUCUGGAGCCUCCGUGAUGCUUAGUCAGGACAAGCUUGCAGAUGGGUACAGGUUGCAGGCCCUUGCCUCUCUUCCCUUCACCCCAAAGCAGCCAGUAAACCACCUGGACACAGAAAGAGACCCACAUAUUCUCUAAAAUGCCUGAAUGGAACAAUCUAGAAUCUAAGCAUUCCUUAUAGGAACAGAGACUACUGUAAGAUGCGGGAUAGUAAGAAGGCAGCCUAGACUCUUCAAAAGGACAAUGUUUAAAAAAAAAUAAAGUGGAGGGAUGAUUCAAGAUUAAAAGAGAGUGAAGAAAUGAGGCCAACCAGAUGCAAUGUACAGACUUGGGCCACAGCGGGGGAGGUAACAGCAGACGGUUUGGUGGGAAGGAACGCACCAGAGCCCCAUGGGCCUGCCUGGCCAGCUCGCUUGGUCAUCCUGGUAAAACAGCAGAGCUCUCUGUUCCAAGAGGCCCACGCGCAGCCCCACGUGCCUGCUGAUCUGUGUACACACGUGUGUGCACUCUGGCAAGCUUCACUUUAAUUGUGAAGAAACAUGGGAACCGGUGCUCCCACCCGGGCUGUGGGAGUGUGGUGCGGUGGGGCCUGGACAUGGGGAGAGUCCGAAGUGGGGUCAGCUCCCUGGAGUCAGGCAUGUCUGUCUCAAGCUGCCCCUGUCCCUUGCUGAAAUGGGAACCCCCACCAGCUGCCUCGGGGAGCCCGCGUCCUUACACUCUAUUCGGAUCUGCUCCAGCUCCGUCACCUCCGCAAUGGACUCCUUCAGGUCCUCCACGAACUUCUGCAUCUCGUCCGAGCCCAGGGCACAGAAAUGCAGCACCUGCUUCUUCUCGGAGCCCGAGAGCGGGGUCACCAGUGUGAUGCCAUGAGAGUAAUCUGGAAAGCAGACCCCAGGCCCCCAGUGGGCUGUGAGCAGCAGCAGCCGAGGGCUGGGGCCAGCCAGACAUGAGGAGGGCACGGGGUCUCAUGCCUCCACCCACUCUGCUGUCCAGCCCUUCUCCUUCAACUCGCCCCAGCCAUUUCAUCCAUUCAUUCCUUCUCAAAGACUUACACUGGCUGUCAAAGACUUACACUCAUUCUCAAAGAGCUGGAACUGCAUGCCCAGCAGGCCAACUGACUUGCAGAAGGUGUACGUGGAGGAGCCCUUCUUCUUCGGGCAAAGUUUGAGAAUCUGUUCAGGAGAGGGAAACAGGCAUGUGCUGAUGAGCAGACACUCACGGACACAUGGAUGCACAAACACCCGGGGGAUGCACGAUCACACAAACCCACGCAGCGAUGAAUGUGCACAUACAGGUACAGAUAUACAUAUGUGUGCACACACUAUCCCAAAAUGUGCUGCUUCACUGCACAAAACCCUACAGUAUUCCCUCUGUACUUAGAAGCCAAGCCACGGCGCCUGAGCUGGCCUGUAAAACCCACCUGAUGUGGUCCUUGCCUUACUCUGGCCUUCUGCCCAAGUGUCCUCCCUGCUGUAGCUUGAGAAGGGCAAGCUCAGUUCCACUGUGGGCCCCUCGCAUACACUGUUCCCACUCCACAGCUCUCCCGGCAGCUUUUUGCACGGCUGCGUUACUCUCAUUACUUAAGUCUCAAAUGCUACCUCCUUAGACAUGCCUUCCUGGAUCAUCUCCUCUAAAAAACAAACCAAAGCAAGCCCAAACCUGGCCCUUAACUCCAGUCACUCUCUGUACUAUCACCUGGUUUGUGGCCUUCAUAGUGCCUUCCCCCAAUCUGAUAUUAUCUUGUUUGUCUGUUUCUUAAUUAUUUUCUAUCUCCCUCCCCUACUAAAAUGAAAGCUCGUUUUAGUAAAGUCAUCUGGUUGCUUAAUAAACAAAUUUCUAUUCAGCA
Long non-coding RNA from Pan troglodytes (chimpanzee), 3836 nucleotides. RefSeq lists it as uncharacterized. The transcript has 2 exons. The record is from RefSeq and is a predicted model, not a curated record. NCBI's taxonomy places the organism in Eukaryota, Metazoa, Chordata, Mammalia, Primates, Hominidae.